CAGUCGCCGCGGGAAUACGAAGGGUGCAAGCGUUAAUCGGAAUUAUUGGGCGUAAAGGGUGCGUAGGCGGUUUGAUAAGUCAUCUGUGAAAUCUCUGGGCUCAACCCAGAGUCUGCAGGCGAAACUGUCGGGCUUGAGUAUGGGAGAGGUGAGUGGAAUUUCCGGUGUAGCGGUGAAAUGCGUAGAUAUCGGAAGGAACACCUGUGGCGAAAGCGGCUCACUGGACCAUAACUGACGCUGAUGCACGAAAGCUAGGGGAGCAAACAGGAUUAGAUACCCCAGUAGUCCCUGUCUCUUAUAU
RNAcentral lists this ribosomal RNA (301 nucleotides) under uncultured bacterium. Its description in RNAcentral is "partial 16S ribosomal RNA". It matches the Rfam family "Bacterial small subunit ribosomal RNA", at positions 509 to 809 of the family's 1533-position model. The record is from RNAcentral.